This 440-nucleotide ribosomal RNA is filed under the name uncultured bacterium. RNAcentral's name for it is "partial 16S ribosomal RNA". It matches the Rfam family "Bacterial small subunit ribosomal RNA", at positions 338 to 795 of the family's 1533-position model. The record is from RNAcentral.
CCUACGGGAGGCUGCAGUAGGGAAUAUUGCUCAAUGGGGGAAACCCUGAAGCAGCAACGCCGCGUGGAGGAUGAAGGUUUUCGGAUUGUAAACUCCUUUUGUUAGAGAAGAUAAUGACGGUAUCUAACGAAUAAGCACCGGCUAACUCCGUGCCAGCAGCCGCGGUAAUACGGAGGGUGCAAGCGUUACUCGGAAUCACUGGGCGUAAAGAGCGCGUAGGCGGGAUAGCAAGUCAGAUGUGAAAUCCUAUGGCUUAACCAUAGAACUGCAUUUGAAACUGUUAUUCUAGAGUAUGGGAGAGGGAGGUGGAAAUCUUGGGGGAGGGGUAAAAGCCGUAGAGAAUAAGAGGAAUACUCAAUGCGAAGGCGACCUGCUAGAACAUAACUGACGCUGAUGCGCGAAAGCGUGGGGAGCAAACAGGAUUAGAUACCCUAGUAGUC